GUGUCAGCCGCCGCGGUAAUACAGAGGGUGCGAGCGUUUAUCGGAAUUACUGGGCGUAAAGGGUGCGUAGGUGGUUCGAUAAGUCAGAUGUGAAAUCCCUGGGCUUAACCUGGGAAUUGCAUUUGAUACUGUCAAACUAGAGUGUGGUAGAGGUAAGCGGAAUUCCCGGUGUAGCGGUGAAAUGCGUAGAUAUCGGGAGGAACAUCAGUGGCGAAGGCGGCUUACUGGACCAACACUGACACUGAGGCACGAAAGCGUGGGUAGCAAACAGGAUUAGAAACCCCAGUAGUCC
RNAcentral lists this ribosomal RNA (292 nucleotides) under uncultured bacterium. RNAcentral describes it as "partial 16S ribosomal RNA". It matches the Rfam family "Bacterial small subunit ribosomal RNA", at positions 505 to 796 of the family's 1533-position model. The record is from RNAcentral.